UUAUAAAUUAUUAUAUUUAAUAAAAUAUAUUUCAAAAAUUUUUAUUAAUGGAAAUAGAUAAUAACUUUUUAUAAUAAUAUUGUUUAAUUGUUUGUAAUUUACAUAUAAUUGUAAUUUUCCUUUUUUUUUGUACGAAAAAAAUUAAAUAUUUUGCUAAUAAUAUCGAUAAUUUAAUAUAUUUUUUUUAAAAAUUCUUGGGAUGUAUUUGUCGAAUAUUUCCAUUUAUAUUGGGUUUAAUCCGUAUAUUUCAUGGAAUUUGGAUUAUAUUUUUUUUAAUAAUAUUUCGUAAUCGUACGGGUUAUAUUCGGGUAAUUUUAUUUCGAAUUUUAAGUUAAAUAAUUGUUUAUAUAUCUGGUAUUCGGCCGAAAUAUUAUUAUUUAAUAUAAAAAAGAUUCGAUCGUUUUUCGUUUGUAAAUAAUCGCAAUUUUUCCAAUUUUAAUUCCAGUUAUAGUUCGUUUUUUUUAAUAACGUUAUAAUUUUCCGUUAAUUUUGUUUUUAUAUUUUAUGUUUGUAACGUAAAAUCCGUUUUUCGGGUUUUUUUUUCAAACAUAAACAGUUUUUUUCAAAACUUAACAGUUUUUUUUAUUAAAUUUGGCCGGUUAUUUAAUUUAUUUUAAAAUUGCCUUUUUUAAACCAGGAAAAUUUUAAUAUUACGUUUUUAUCUUGUAUUUCCGUAAUAUUUAAAAUAAUUUGUAUUUUUCGUUUAUAAUUUUCCAUUUAAAAAUAUACGAUUUUUAUUUU
This 741-nucleotide small RNA is filed under the name Pyricularia oryzae. RNAcentral describes it as "Magnaporthe oryzae sRNA M_BR32_EuGene_00144861". The record is from RNAcentral. Lineage: Eukaryota; Fungi; Ascomycota; Sordariomycetes; Magnaporthales; Pyriculariaceae.